GAUGAACGCUGGCGGCGUGCCUAAUACAUGCAAGUAGAACGCUGAAGCUUGGUGCUUGCACCGAGCGGAUGAGUUGCGAACGGGUGAGUAACGCGUAGGUAACCUGCCUCUUAGCGGGGGAUAACUAUUGGAAACGAUAGCUAAUACCGCAUAAAAGUUGACAUUGCAUGAUGUUGAUUUGAAAGAUGCAAUUGCAUCACUAAGAGAUGGACCUGCGUUGUAUUAGCUAGUUGGUGAAGUAACGGCUCACCAAGGCGACGAUACAUAGCCGACCUGAGAGGGUGAUCGGCCACACUGGGACUGAGACACGGCCCAGACUCCUACGGGAGGCAGCAGUAGGGAAUCUUCGGCAAUGGGGGCAACCCUGACCGAGCAACGCCGCGUGAGUGAAGAAGGUUUUCGGAUCGUAAAGCUCUGUUGUAAGAGAAGAACGAGUGUGAGAGUGGAAAGUUCACACUGUGACGGUAACUUACCAGAAAGGGACGGCUAACUACGUGCCAGCAGCCGCGGUAAUACGUAGGUCCCGAGCGUUAUCCGGAUUUAUUGGGCGUAAAGCGAGCGCAGGCGGUUAGAUAAGUCUGAAGUUAAAGGCUGUGGCUUAACCAUAGUACGCCUUGGAAACUGUUUAACUUGAGUGCAGAAGGGGAGAGUGGAAUUCCAUGUGUAGCGGUGAAAUGCGUAGAUAUAUGGAGGAACACCGGUGGCGAAAGCGGCUCUCUGGUCUGUAACUGACGCUGAGGCUCGAAAGCGUGGGGAGCAAACAGG
RNAcentral lists this ribosomal RNA (765 nucleotides) under uncultured Streptococcus sp. RNAcentral describes it as "bacterial SSU rRNA". It matches the Rfam family "Bacterial small subunit ribosomal RNA", at positions 28 to 776 of the family's 1533-position model. The record is from RNAcentral. Lineage: Bacteria; Bacillati; Bacillota; Bacilli; Lactobacillales; Streptococcaceae.